Molecule: long non-coding RNA, 2047 nt
Filed under: Mus musculus (house mouse)
Lineage: Eukaryota; Metazoa; Chordata; Mammalia; Rodentia; Muridae
Description: long non-coding RNA chr8:70352775-70354822
Source: RNAcentral
ACUUGUGCGUCGAGCUGGCCGGCCGCGCCGCCUGCGCCCGCUCCGCCCGGGCCUCCCGCGCCGCCGGGGCCGCCGGGGGGCGUCUGCGUCUGGCUGGGAAGGGUGAAGUCGGUGAAUUCGAACUCGGAGCCCUGGGUGUCGGCGCCGAGCAGCUCGGCCUCCUCAGUGUCCAAGAAGGUGAGUGUUUGCGAGCUGGGGCCGUACGCCUCCACACUCAUCCUGCCGCCCGGGCCGCGCCUUCAGCGGGCGCCUCACCGCACUCGAGCCCGAGGCUUCGGCUAGGCCUAGGCCGUAAUCCGGAGUAGCCGCUGCCGCCGCCCUGAGAGCCGGGCGGGCUCCGAGUCGGCCUCCGAAAGCAGAGCCGGGCCGCCGGUUCUGAGCUCUGAGUUGCCGCCGCCGCCGCCGCCGCCGCCGCCGCCGCCGCCGCCGCCGCGCCCCUCCGUAACGCUGCUCGCCUCAAAGCCGACCGCCGCUCUCAGACCCCUGGACAGGAACCGCCGUCGCCGCCACCGCUGCGGUGCGCGUGCGCGAGCCGGACGCCGGCACAGAUGCGCGUGCGCGAGUCCGACGCCGGCGCAGGCGCGCGCGUUCCUCCCGGAAAGUAGCCAACCGCACCGGAGCACUGGGAGCUAAGCGGGAGGGCGGAACUCGCCGUGCGCCUGCGCGAAGAGGCGGGCCUUCAACCGCCUAAAGGACCUGGGCUCGCGAACUUGGCCCCGCCCCAACUGCUGCCUAGCGGUGCGCAUGCGCGCAUGCGACGUCCUCACCUCCGGGCUUCAGGGCUGGAUGUUCGUUAGGUGCUGAUUGAGGCUCUCUCCAGAAGGUUUUGGGUGUGGAGCCUGUGGCACGGGGACCACGCACCUGCACUCCUUGAACCUUAGUUACCCCGUCUGUCACUUGGCUCGUGGCCAUUCUCAGUAUUCAUCGAUUGAAUAAAUGAGUAGGGAGCGGGGACUCUGCCAAAUGGUAGUCACUGCUACCCCGAGCACUCCUGAAGCCUGUGAAGAUAAAUGCUUCUUUUGUCUUGCGAUCAAGUCGCACUGGUCCGAGCUAGCCUGGGAAUCGCUGAGAAGGGGUCAGGUCCCCUAGAACUAGUUAUGAAUGGAUGUGAGCUCCUCUUGUAAGCGCUGGGUGCACAACUCUGAGCCAUUUCUCCGGCCUGUUUUGGUUUUGAUUGAGGGUCUCACACUGUAACCAUGGUUGGUUUGGAAUUCGGGGGAAUCCUCCUGCCUCAAAGUGCCUGGUGGUGGGGUGACAGGUGUACAUGCAAUGUUGACCACGGAACUAAGGGCUCUUGUGUGCUAGGCAGAAGCUACCAACUGAUGAGCAUCCACAGCCAGCUGCGAGACUUAGAGAAACACUCCUCCCUGGGUUUCCUUCCCACUCUUCAGUGGAGGAAGUGUAAGUGUUGCAGCUCUGAAGGGAAAGGCAUUCCCCCCACAGAAGUGUAUCUGCUCUGCUUGGGCAGGGGGAGGGGUGGAGGUGGUUCCCCAAAGUGUUUCAGCUGUGCUCCAAAAGAUCCUGGCAAUUGGGAGCCAAGAAAUAGAACAAAGUCACAGCACACAACAAACCUAACACGAGAUUUAUUGCGAGGGAAAAACCCAGGAGGGUGGCUGCCUCUGCUUGGGUGGAUCUCCCAGUAAGGACACUCCUUAAAAUCCAAGCACUCAGGAGUCGAAGGCAGGGAGAUCUCUGUAACUCUGAGGCCAGCCUUGUCUACAGAGCGAAGUUCAGGACACCCAACAUUACAUCAUCUCAAAACACACAAAAACAGAUGCUGAGUGUAGAGGCGCAGUCUCCCAGGACUCUGGAGAUGGAGACAGAGCAAGGAUUCAAGGUCAUCCUAAGUUGUAUAGCAAGUUUGAGGCCAGCCUGAGGUAUAUUAGAACUUGGCUAAAAAACACAAUGAAACAAACAAAAACAGAUAAGUAAAUGUUCCAUCAGGCCAAGGAUUAGUUAGCCCAGUUCGCUGCAACCUUCCAUAGAGGGACAGUAGUGCCUGUAGCCACUGCUCAAUAAAAGGUUCUCUGUUGCUUUGUUGUUUUUC